GCCUGUCAUGGUGGUGUGAGCCUGUAGUCCCAGCCACUUGGGAGGCUGAGGCAGGAGGAUUGUUUGAGCCCAGGAAUUCGAGGCCACAGUGUGCUAUGAUGGCACCAUGAAUAGCCACUGUAUUUCAGCCUGGGCAACAUAGCAAGACCCUGCCUCUA
This is a non-coding RNA of Homo sapiens (human), 158 nucleotides long. It matches the Rfam family "Metazoan signal recognition particle RNA". Rfam says of the family: The signal recognition particle (SRP) is a universally conserved ribonucleoprotein. It is involved in the co-translational targeting of proteins to membranes. The record is from Rfam. NCBI's taxonomy places the organism in Eukaryota, Metazoa, Chordata, Mammalia, Primates, Hominidae.